This 403-nucleotide ribosomal RNA is filed under the name uncultured prokaryote. RNAcentral's name for it is "bacterial SSU rRNA". It matches the Rfam family "Bacterial small subunit ribosomal RNA", at positions 355 to 774 of the family's 1533-position model. The record is from RNAcentral.
UAGGGAAUAUUGCUUAAUGGGCGAAAGCCUGAAGCAGCAACGCCGCGUGGACGAAGAAGGCCUUCGGGUUGUAAAGUUCUUUUAUAUGGGAUGAGGAAGGACAGUACCAUAUGAAUAAGUCUCGGCUAACUACGUUCCAGCAGCCGCGGUAACACGUAGGAGACGAGCGUUAUCCGGCUUUACUGGGCGUAAAGAGCGUGUAGGAGGCAAUACAAGUUGGAUGUAAAAGCUUUCGGCUAAACUGAGAGAGGACGUUCAAGACUGUAGAGCGAGAGGAAGGCAGAGGUAGAUGGAACUCCGGGAGUAGUGGUGAAAGGCGUAGAUAUCCGGAAGAACACCAGAGGCGAAAGCGAUCUACUGGGCCUUAACAGACACUGAGACGCGAAAGCCAGGGUAGCAAACG